This 752-nucleotide ribosomal RNA is filed under the name uncultured bacterium. RNAcentral describes it as "bacterial SSU rRNA". It matches the Rfam family "Bacterial small subunit ribosomal RNA", at positions 97 to 827 of the family's 1533-position model. The record is from RNAcentral.
GGCGGACGGGUGAGUAACGCGUGGGUAACCUGCCCUUUUGUGGGGAACAACUUCGAGAAAUCGGAGCUAAUACCGCAUAAUAAUAGAGGAUCGCAUGAUUCUUUAAGGAAAGAUGGCCUCUGAAGAUGCUAUCGCAAAAGGAUGGACCCGCGUCUGAUUAGCUAGUUGGAAGGGUAACGGCCUACCAAGGCAACGAUCAGUAGCCGGCCUGAGAGGGUGAACGGCCACAUUGGGACUGAGACACGGCCCAAACUCCUACGGGAGGCAGCAGUGGGGAAUCUUCCGCAAUGGGCGAAAGCCUGACGGAGCAAUGCCGCGUGAGUGAAGAAGGCCUUCGGGUUGUAAAACUCUGUCCUUAUCGAAGAGAGGUAGGUAUGUGAAUAAUGUACCUAUAGGACGGUAGAUAAGGAGGAAGCCCCGGCUAACUACGUGCCAGCAGCCGCGGUAAUACGUAGGGGGCGAGCGUUGUCCGGAAUCACUGGGCGUAAAGGGCGCGUAGGCGGUUUAAUAAGUCAGUGGUGAAAACUGAGGGCUCAACCCUCAGCCUGCCACUGAUACUGUUAGACUUGAGUAUGGAAGAGGAGAAUGGAAUUCCUAGUGUAGCGGUGAAAUGCGUAGAUAUUAGGAGGAACACCAGUGGCGAAGGCGAUUCUCUGGGCCAAGACUGACGCUGAGGCGCGAAAGCGUGGGGAGCAAACAGGAUUAGAUACCCUGGUAGUCCACGCCGUAAACGAUGGAUACUAGGUGUUAGU